Molecule: ribosomal RNA, 397 nt
Filed under: uncultured bacterium
Lineage: Bacteria
Description: bacterial SSU rRNA
Rfam family: Bacterial small subunit ribosomal RNA
Source: RNAcentral
UAUUGCACAAUGGGGGAAACCCUGAUGCAGCGACGCCGCGUGAGCGAAGCAGUAUUUCGGUAUGUAAAGCUCUAUCAGCAGGGAAGAAAAUGACGGUAUCUGAGUAAGAAGCUCCGGCUAAAUACGUGCCAGCAGCCGCGGUAAUACGUAUGGAGCAAGCGUUAUCCGGAUUUACUGGGUGUAAAGGGAGCGCAGGCGGUCUGGCAAGUCUGAUGUGAAAUACCGGGGCUCAACUCCGAGACUGCAUUGGAAACUGUCAGACUGGAGUGUCGGAGAGGCAGGCAGAAUUCCUGGUGUAGCGGUGAAAUGCGUAGAUAUCAGGAGGAACACCAGUGGCGAAGGCGGCCUGCUGGACGAUGACUGACGCUGAGGCUCGAAAGCGUGGGGAGCAAACAGG